RNAcentral lists this ribosomal RNA (424 nucleotides) under Demospongiae sp. GW3415. RNAcentral describes it as "partial 28S large subunit ribosomal RNA". The record is from RNAcentral. Lineage: Eukaryota; Metazoa; Porifera; Demospongiae.
GCUCAGGGUGUCGAGGUUGUCAUGCUUUGUUGCUGGGUUCAUCUGGUGGCCUGCUGCCAGUGCAUUCUCAGCCAAAGUUGGACCGUCAGUCAGGAAGAGUCUGUGACCUGCUUAUCGAUGUUGGGGAGGUAGGCCUUGUGGUUCCUUCGGGUUCCCGGGGUCACGUAUAGCCCUUCAUCGUGGUCCCAGUCGUCUUUCAGGUGCGUUGGAUGACUAAUCGUCCAUAAUUGGAAGGUGCAGUUUCCCCUUGUGGGAGAUCGGGCCUUCACUGCGGUUGCUUAAUGUCUUGGAGUAUGUGUUCCGUUCUCUCGCCGUUUGACUUGUGCUGCGGUGUAGGGUGCGGCACUGCCCUUGAUGUUGUGUCCCAAUGUGUUGUGUCCAAGUUCUGUGCCAAGGUGACUGGCGAGGAGUCGUUACUCUGUGA